UCCUCCCUCUGGCGGCGUGCUUAACACAUGCAAGUCGAACGGGAAGGCCCUGCUGUUGUGGGGUGCUCGAGUGGCGAACGGGUGAGUAACACGUGAGUAACCUGCCUUUGACUUUGGGAUAACUUCAGGAAACGGGGGCUAAUACCGGAUAGGAGCUCCUGCUGCAUGGUGGGGGUUGGAAAGUUUCGGCGGUUGGGGAUGGACUCGCGGCUUAUCAGCUUGUUGGUGGGGUAGUGGCUUACCAAGGCUGUGACGGGUAGCCGGCCUGAUAGGGUGACCGGCCACAUUGGGACUGAGAUACGGCCCAGACUCCUACGGGAGGCAGCAGUGGAGAAUAUUGCAUAAUGGGCGGAAGCCUGAUGCAGUCACGCCGCGUCCGGGAUGACGGCCUUCGGGUUGUAUACCGCUUUCGCCUGUGACGAAGCGUGAGUGACGGUAAUGGGUAAAGAAGCACCGGCUAACUACGUG
RNAcentral lists this ribosomal RNA (468 nucleotides) under uncultured bacterium. RNAcentral describes it as "partial 16S ribosomal RNA". It matches the Rfam family "Bacterial small subunit ribosomal RNA", at positions 36 to 507 of the family's 1533-position model. The record is from RNAcentral.